AUGAAAAUGCAUAUUCUUGGACAUAACCCCGCCGUUUGGGCUAUUGUGUGUAUUGGCUUGCAAGGUGAAUUCUUUGAUGGGAGAGAACCGAACCGUGAAGCUACCGCGGAAGAGUUGAAGAUGCUGCAAUACAACGCUCAAGCUUGUGAUAUCCUAUUCAACGGAUUGUGCCCCGAAGAAUUCAACAAAAUCAGCCGCCUUGAGAAUGCAAAGAAAAUUUGGGAUACUUUGAUUGAUAUGCACGAAGGUACCGACUCCGUCAAGGAAUCCAAAUUGGAUGUGCUUCAAAGUCAACUUGACAAGUUCAAAAUGAAGGAUGGUGAAGGUGUCGCUGAAAUGUACUCUAGGCUUGGUCUCAUCACAAAUGAGAUUGCCGGCUUAGGAAGUGAAGAGAUGACCGACAAAUUCAUUAACAAGAAGAUCCUAAGAGCCUUGGAUGGAAAAUAUGAUACCGUGUGCACAUUGAUCCAAAUGAUGCCCAACUACAAAGAUCUCAAGCCAACGGAAGUCAUUGGAAGAAUUAUUGCUCAUGAGAUGUCACUCAAGGAUAAAGAAGAGCUUCACAACAAGUCAAGUGGUGCUUACAAAGCCUCAUGUGAUGCUCCUACAUCAUCAAGUGAGAAACAAACCUUCAAUGAGGAAUUGAUCUUAAUGGUGAAAAACUUCAACAAGUUCUACAAGAGUAGAAGCAAGGAAAGAAGCUCCAAGUCAAGGUCCUACAAUGACAAAAGAUCUUCGAGUCGUGAACGUAAUUGCUACAAUUGUGGAAGACCCGGACACCAUUCCAAUGAGUGUACAACUCCUUACAAAAGGAAAGAAGAUUCACCCAAAAGGAGAAGUAGAAGAGAUGAAUCACCACCAAGAGAGAGGAGGAGUAGAGAUGAUCACUAUGAACGAAGAACCUCCAGGAGAAGCAAGGACUCGAAAAGAAAGGACAAAUCAUCAAAGAGCUACACAAAGCGAAGACAUCAAGCUCAUGUUGGUGAAUGGGUAUCCGGUUCCAACUCCGACCAUCACUCUGAGAGAAGCUAUCACUCUGACUCCGAAUAUACUCAAGAUGAAGGUGUUGCCGGUCUAGCACUUGUGUCAACCAACUCCUACGACAUAUUUGACUCACCAAAUGAAGGAAUUGGAAGAUGCUUCAUGGCUAAAGGCCCAAAGGUAUCACACCCCGAGUAUGUUGAUUUCAAUAGUGAUGAAGAUGACUUGUUAGUUGAUGACGAUUUACUUAUUAACAACUCUAGUGAUGAAUACUAUGAUGAAACGCCAAUUAAUUAUGCUAAUCAAGAUAAAACGAAUGACAAUGAUAAAGAGGAAAUUGAGCGUCUAACUAAAGAACUAAGCACUCUUAAGUUAGCUCAUGAAACUACCUUGGAAGGUCAUCGAGAACUUUUAAACACUCAUGAAAAGUUAUGCUUUGAAAAGCUCAACCUUGAGCAAGAGCAUGAGUUUUUAAAGGCAAUCAAUGAUGAUAUUCGCAAGAAAAGUUCUUCUUACAUUGCCAAGCGUUUACUCUUAUCUACUUACAUGCUUCAAGUAAAAUCUAGCAACAAAAGUAAGAAAGAUUCUUCUUCUAGUAGUAACAAUAAUCAUGCUAAAUCCAAUGUUGUUGCUUCUAGUAGUUCUCUUGAUUCCACUAAUGAUUCUCUUAGCCAAGUUACACUUGAGCAAGAAAAUAGUUUAUUGAAGGGAAUUAUAGAGAAGGGUGUCUACAAAAGUCUUGCUGGGAGUAAGCAAUUCAAAUAA
This 1746-nucleotide ribosomal RNA is filed under the name Triticum aestivum (bread wheat). RNAcentral describes it as "partial small subunit ribosomal RNA". Lineage: Eukaryota; Viridiplantae; Streptophyta; Magnoliopsida; Poales; Poaceae. The record is from RNAcentral.